RNAcentral lists this non-coding RNA (24 nucleotides) under Arabidopsis thaliana (thale cress). Lineage: Eukaryota; Viridiplantae; Streptophyta; Magnoliopsida; Brassicales; Brassicaceae. The record is from RNAcentral.
GGUCUAGCAGCAGGAGUACACGAC